CCUCAUGACUAUGUCGCUUGUUGUUUCUUUUGUAGAGUUGUGUGAUGAUGUUUGCGUGCUUAUGCUUUUCUUUGAAAGUAGGACGAUGGACUUGUUAUUUUUGGAUUUGCCCAUCUUCCAUGUUUGUUCCCAUUGAAGGCGUCAUUAACAGCAACCGUUGUGCCCAUUGAAGGCGUCAUUAACAGCAACCAUGCACCUCUUCUCAGGCUUAACAUCUCUUUCAUUAUGUCAGACUCAGUGAUUCAUGGAAAAUGUAUGAAAGCCAGUUGACCAAUUUCUCUGUCUGAAUGUUAAACUUAAGCAUGAAACUGCCUCACGAUAUGUCAGUUUGGUUCGAACUCAAUUGAUCGUCGAAUCUAGUCAACACAUUC
Molecule: long non-coding RNA, 371 nt
Filed under: Brassica napus (rape)
Lineage: Eukaryota; Viridiplantae; Streptophyta; Magnoliopsida; Brassicales; Brassicaceae
Description: long non-coding RNA (BNAP_LNC020450)
Source: RNAcentral